AAAAAAAGAGAAAAAAAAAGAGAAAAGAAAAACAAAAGAAAAAAUGCACUUGCCGAGACUUAAGACUCUAACACAUAUAGAAUGCUCGGAAAAUUUGAGUAGAAAAAGAGUCAAAAGAGUGAAAUUAACCCCCAGAGUAUACGUGAUGCACGAGAAAAAGAGAAAGAAAAAUCACACAACAUGACUACCGAGUUCAAAACCCUUUGUUAUCCAAUUUUUUGUUUAUCCCACCGUACCCAAGCC
RNAcentral lists this long non-coding RNA (243 nucleotides) under Lathyrus oleraceus (garden pea). RNAcentral describes it as "Pisum sativum (pea) long non-coding RNA (PSAT_LNC034708)". The record is from RNAcentral. Lineage: Eukaryota; Viridiplantae; Streptophyta; Magnoliopsida; Fabales; Fabaceae.